This 377-nucleotide unclassified non-coding RNA is filed under the name uncultured Gammaproteobacteria bacterium. RNAcentral describes it as "contains 16S-23S intergenic spacer region". Lineage: Bacteria; Pseudomonadati; Pseudomonadota; Gammaproteobacteria. The record is from RNAcentral.
UCCGGUUUGUCACCGGCAGUCUCAUUAGAGUGCUCAACUUAAUGGAGCAACUAAUGACAAGGGUUGCGCUCGUUGCGGGACUUAACCCAACAUCUCACGACACGAGCUGACGACAGCCAUGCAGCACCUGUGUUCCGGUUCCCUUUCGGGCACACCCGCCUCUCAGCAGGCUUCCGGACAUGUCAAGGGUAGGUAAGGUUUUUCGCGUUGCAUCGAAUUAAUCCACAUAAUCCACCGCUUGUGCGGGUCCCCGUCAAUUCCUUUGAGUUUUAACCUUGCGGCCGUACUCCCCAGGCGGUCGACUUCACGCGUUAGCUUCGUUACUGAGAGUGUCAAACCCCCAACAACCAGUCGACAUCGUUUAGGGCGUGGACUAC